AAUGAACGUUGGCGGCGUGGAUUAGGCAUGCAAGUCGAGCGUGUACCCGCAAGGGGAAAGCGGCAAACGGGGUAGGAACGCGUAGGUCACGUACCCCUCGGCCGGGGAUAGCCACGGGAAACUGNGGGUAAUACCCGAUGACGCCGAGAGGCCAAAGGUGUGAUUCCGCCGGGGGAGCGGCCUGCGUAGUAUUAGCUAGUUGGUGAGGUAACGGCUCACCAAGGCGAAGAUGCUUAGGGGGUGUGAGAGCAUGACCCCCACCACUGGGACUGAGAUACUGCCCAGACACCUACGGGUGGCUGCAGUCGAGAGUCUUCGGCAAUGGGGGCAACCCUGACCGAGCGACGCCGCGUGUGGGAUGAAGGCCCUUGGGUUGUAAACCACUGUCAGAGGGGAUGAAACGAUCAUGGGUUCUCCCAUGGUCCUGACAUAGCCCUCAGAGGAAGCACGGGCUAAGUUCGUGCCAGCAGCCGCGGUAAUACGAACUGUGCAAACGUUAUUCGGAAUCACUGGG
Molecule: ribosomal RNA, 514 nt
Filed under: uncultured bacterium
Lineage: Bacteria
Description: bacterial SSU rRNA
Rfam family: Bacterial small subunit ribosomal RNA
Source: RNAcentral